This 453-nucleotide ribosomal RNA is filed under the name uncultured Exiguobacterium sp. RNAcentral's name for it is "bacterial SSU rRNA". It matches the Rfam family "Bacterial small subunit ribosomal RNA", at positions 985 to 1437 of the family's 1533-position model. Lineage: Bacteria; Bacillati; Bacillota; Bacilli; Caryophanales. The record is from RNAcentral.
CAUCCCCCUGACCGGUACAGAGAUGUACCUUCCCCUUCGGGGGCAGGGGUGACAGGUGGUGCAUGGUUGUCGUCAGCUCGUGUCGUGAGAUGUUGGGUUAAGUCCCGCAACGAGCGCAACCCUUGUCCUUAGUUGCCAGCAUUCAGUUGGGCACUCUAAGGAGACUGCCGGUGACAAACCGGAGGAAGGUGGGGAUGACGUCAAAUCAUCAUGCCCCUUAUGAGUUGGGCUACACACGUGCUACAAUGGACGGUACAAAGGGCAGCGAAGCCGCGAGGUGGUGCCAAUCCCAGAAAGCCGUUCUCAGUUCGGAUUGCAGGCUGCAACUCGCCUGCAUGAAGUCGGAAUCGCUAGUAAUCGCAGGUCAGCAUACUGCGGUGAAUACGUUCCCGGGUCUUGUACACACCGCCCGUCACACCACGAGAGUUUGCAACACCCGAAGUCGGUGAGUAA